GAGAUCGGGAUAACACCUGGAAACAGAUGCUAAUACCGGAUAACAACAGAUGAUGCCUAUCAACUGUUUAAAAGAUGGUUCUGCUAUCACUCUUGGAUGGACCUGCGGUGCAUUAGCUAGUUGGUAGGGUAACGGCCUACCAAGGCGAUGAUGCAUAGCCGAGUUGAGAGACUGAUCGGCCACAUUGGGACUGAGACACGGCCCAAACUCCUACGGGAGGCAGCAGUUA
RNAcentral lists this ribosomal RNA (229 nucleotides) under uncultured Lactobacillus sp. Its description in RNAcentral is "partial 16S ribosomal RNA". It matches the Rfam family "Bacterial small subunit ribosomal RNA", at positions 134 to 355 of the family's 1533-position model. Lineage: Bacteria; Bacillati; Bacillota; Bacilli; Lactobacillales; Lactobacillaceae. The record is from RNAcentral.